RNAcentral lists this ribosomal RNA (155 nucleotides) under Aeromonas veronii. RNAcentral's name for it is "partial 23S ribosomal RNA". The stretch from base 1 to 134 matches the Rfam family "Bacterial large subunit ribosomal RNA", at positions 2797 to 2925 of the family's 2925-position model. Lineage: Bacteria; Pseudomonadati; Pseudomonadota; Gammaproteobacteria; Aeromonadales; Aeromonadaceae. The record is from RNAcentral.
CCCUGAGAUGAGUCAUCCCUGACCCCUUGAGGGUCCUAAAGGGCCGUUGGAGACCACAACGUUGAUAGGUGGGGUGUGUAAGCGCGGCGACGUGUUGAGCUAACCCAUACUAAUUACCCGUGAGGCUUAACCAUACAACACCCAAGAAGUGUUCU